GGGGUUGUGGCUCAGUGGUAGAGGGCUCACUUAACAUGGGUGAGGCACUGGGUUUGAUUCUCAGCACCACA
RNAcentral lists this transfer RNA (71 nucleotides) under Marmota monax (woodchuck). RNAcentral describes it as "tRNA.Val". The record is from RNAcentral. Lineage: Eukaryota; Metazoa; Chordata; Mammalia; Rodentia; Sciuridae.